GGACCCGCACAAGCAGUGGAGCAUGUGGUUUAAUUCGAAGAUACGCGCAGAACCUUACCAACGCUUGACAUGUUCGUCGCGAAACUAAGAGAUUAGUUUCUUCAGUUCGGCUGGACGAAAACACAGGUGCUGCAUGGCUGUCGUCAGCUCGUGUCGUGAGAUGUUGGGUUAAGUCCCGCAACGAGCGCAACCCACAUCCUUAGUUGCCAGCAGUUCGGCUGGGCACUCUAAGGAAACUGCCCGUGAUAAGCGGGAGGAAGGUGUGGAUGACGUCAAGUCCUCAUGGCCCUUACGGGUUGGGCUACACACGUGCUACAAUGGUGCUACAGUGGGGUUAAUCCCCCCAAAAGGCAUCUCA
This 358-nucleotide ribosomal RNA is filed under the name uncultured bacterium. RNAcentral's name for it is "bacterial SSU rRNA". It matches the Rfam family "Bacterial small subunit ribosomal RNA", at positions 917 to 1290 of the family's 1533-position model. The record is from RNAcentral.